This 303-nucleotide transfer-messenger RNA is filed under the name Candidatus Pelagibacter sp. It matches the Rfam family "Alphaproteobacteria transfer-messenger RNA". From Rfam's summary of the family: Bacterial tmRNA, also known as 10Sa RNA or SsrA, is named for its dual tRNA and mRNA-like properties. Its role is to liberate the mRNA from a stalled ribosome. Lineage: Bacteria; Pseudomonadati; Pseudomonadota; Alphaproteobacteria; Candidatus Pelagibacterales; Candidatus Pelagibacteraceae. The record is from RNAcentral.
AUACUUUAAUUUUAGAAUCUUUCAUUUAUAUUAAAUCUUGUUGGAUUUCCAACUAUGGUGAUAAACGAAAUUCGAAAUAAACAUUUCGGACCAGGGGGCGGUACCCUGCACCUCCACCAAAUACAACUCAUGGGGGUGAAAUAGGCUCGACGGAUGUCUAAAGGCUUUUCUUUUACCCGGUAUUGUUCCGCCGCNAUGGGCUAAUUUAUAAAUGCUAACGAAAGUUAUGCGCUUGCUGCUUAAUUAACUUAGGUUAAUUUUGCAAACGGGGUCUGGGGCACCUGGCAACAGAACGCCCCCUCU